CACCAACACGACAUCCUCUCCCCUCGUCCGCUCCGCUCUAGCCUGCUGCCAUCCUGUCCUCUCGUCUCGUCUCCUCGCGGCGCUCCUCCCCUGCUCGCCACCUCCCGCCCUUUUUAAACCACCACCACUACCAAAUUCACUUGCCUCCCCAACACCGCUUGGCCGCUUGGCGCUUGCUGCUGCGGCCCGUCGGUCUAGGCGUCUAGCUAAGCUACCUCGUUAUUUAGGCGACGCUUGCAUAGCCCAGGGCUUUGACACGACGCGACGCCGAUUAAGCGACACGAGGCCAGGUCCCGGUCCCGGUAGCUCGAACGAGGAGCUAAGCAGAGGCGCCGUUCUGCUGGUUGGCUUCUGUGAUGGGGUCGUCCACGGACCACGGUGGCGCCGGUUGGCGGGGCAAGAAGCAGGGGUCGCAGCUGUGGAAGAAGGCGCUGCUGCAUUCCUCCCUCUGCUUCGUCAUGGGCUUCUUCACCGGCUUCGCGCCGUCGUCCGUGUCCGACUGGACGUCCGCGGCGGCGGCGGCGGGCAGCAGCAGCAGCAGCAGCCACGUGGUACGGGCGCUGCCGGCGGGCGGGGCCUUGAACCGGAGCCUGCUGGCGCACGGCGCGGGGCCUGGCUACGACCGGGCAGCGUCUCCGCGCCCGCUCCUGGUGGUCGUCACGACGACGGAGUCGACGCCCGUGGCGUCCGGCGAGCGGGCCGCCGCGCUGACGCGGACGGCGCACGCGCUGCGGCUGGUGGCGCCGCCGCUGCUGUGGGUGGUCGUGGAGGCCGCCCCGGACGCGCCGGCCACGGCGCGGCAGCUGCGCGCCACGGGGCUCAUGUACCGCCACCUGACGUACAGGGACAACUUCACCGCCGCGGGCGCGGGCAAGGAGCGCCACCACCAGCGCAACGUGGCGCUCGGGCACGUCGAGCACCACCGCCUCGCCGGCGUCGUCCUCUUCGCGGGCCUCGACGACGUGCUGGACCUCCGCCUCUUCGACCAGAUCAGGGAGAUCAGCGCGUUCGGUGCGUGGCCGGUGGCGACGAUGUGGCGGGACGAGAGGGAGGUCGUCGUGCGGGGCCCCGCGUGCAGCUCGUCCGCGGUCACCGGCUGGUUCUCCCAGGACCUGAGCGACGGCACCGCGGCUGCUGCCUCUACCACCUCCACCGCGAGGGCGAGGCCUUCUGGCGAGGUGGACGUCCACGGCUUCGCCUUCAACAGCUCCGUGCUCUGGGACCCCGAGCGCUGGGGCCGCUACCCGACCUCCGAGCCCGACAAGUCCCAGGACUCCACGAAGUUCGUCCAGCAAGUGGUUCUGGAAGAUCUUAGCAAGGUGAAGGGCAUUCCUUCCGAUUGUUCAGAGGUCAUGGUAUGGCACGUCGAUACGGCCGCGCCUUCUCCCUCGUCUCCGCAGAACAAGAGGAGAUAGAGAGCUGAACACCAUAGAAGAGAACGGACGAGCCUGGAGGACGGCCGGAGUGGUGUACACUGUACAUGCAUGGCUACACCACUGAGAUGCUGAUUGUCCUCCUAGCUAGUUGCAAAGAAGGAAAAUUUUUGGUUUUCUCACCGGAGGAUGGAUCCACCUCUGACCCCCCCCCCCCCCCCCCCCCCUCCAUCAUAAUGUGCGAUUUUCUGCUAUUCUUUUUUUUCCUUAAAAAUGUGAUAUAUGUAUAUUUUCCCUUUUCUUUUUACUCAAGUGGGUUUAGGUGAAUACAAACAUAAUAACCCCUUGAAGUGUUUCUCAAGGAUGUAAUGGAUAGAUGGCAAGCUAAAAAAGAUCAACUUAACAAUGAUGAUACGCAUCAUGUUGUCUUUUAU
This 1807-nucleotide unclassified non-coding RNA is filed under the name Zea mays. Its description in RNAcentral is "misc RNA Zm00001eb397110". Lineage: Eukaryota; Viridiplantae; Streptophyta; Magnoliopsida; Poales; Poaceae. The record is from RNAcentral.